RNAcentral lists this long non-coding RNA (452 nucleotides) under Pongo abelii (Sumatran orangutan). Its description in RNAcentral is "lincRNA". Lineage: Eukaryota; Metazoa; Chordata; Mammalia; Primates; Hominidae. The record is from RNAcentral.
UUCCCCACAACUGUGAUGCUUUAUCCUUUGACAUUAAGAAUGCUGUUUGCAGAAGUAACAUUCCUUUGAACACUCAGCUUUCUGAAAUGGUGUCCCACCACAAGGACUGGAGAAGGGUAAACCUCAGGUUCUCCUCCUGCCUUUUGCUAAGUAUAUGUCUUGAUGACAAGCCUUCUGCUAAUGAGCUGUGUUUCUGGACCGAUCAUGGUAGAAGUCAAUUGAAGUGUCCCUCACUUGGGGUUUCUUAAGGCUGCACUGAUGAGGAAACUGAAACAGAAAAUCCAGAGUAAAUUCCACCAGGCCACACAGCAAGGUCUGAUAGAGCCAGGAGAGACUUUAUGAAAUCCAGACUCUCACACUAAUGCUCUAUCAGCUAGACCUCCAUGUGAGUCUCCCCAAUGUAGGUAGGAAGCACUUUCCCUAAAAUGCUCAUAAAGCAAAUCAGAGCAAUG